UCCGGUUUGUCACCGGCAGUCUCUGCAGAGUCCCCGGCAUUACCCGCUGGCAACUAAAAGCAGGGGUUGCGCUCGUUGCGGCACUUAAGCCAACACCUCACGGCACGAGCUGACGACAGCCAUGCAGCACCUGUGCUAGCCCCUUUCGGACACGGGCUUUCACCCGCUUUAACUAGCAUGUCAAGCCUAGGUAAGGUUCUUCGCGUUGCAUCGAAUUAAGCCACAUACUCCGCCGCUUGUGCGGGCCCCCGUCGAUUCCUUUGAGUUUUAACCUUGCGGUCGUAAUCCCCAGGCGGGGUGCUUAAUGCGUUAGCUACGGCACGGAGGGAGUGGAUAACCCCCCACACCUAGCACCCAUCGUUUACGGCGUGGACUAC
This 377-nucleotide unclassified non-coding RNA is filed under the name uncultured Actinomycetes bacterium. RNAcentral describes it as "uncultured actinobacterium contains 16S-23S intergenic spacer region". Lineage: Bacteria; Bacillati; Actinomycetota; Actinomycetes. The record is from RNAcentral.